RNAcentral lists this ribosomal RNA (207 nucleotides) under uncultured bacterium. RNAcentral's name for it is "partial 16S ribosomal RNA". It matches the Rfam family "Bacterial small subunit ribosomal RNA", at positions 568 to 774 of the family's 1533-position model. The record is from RNAcentral.
UGCGUAGGAGGGUAGGUAAGUCAGUGGUGAAAUCCCCGAGCUUAACUUGGGAACUGCCAUUGAUACUAUCUAUCUUGAAUACCGUGGAGGUGAGCGGAAUAUGUCAUGUAGCGGUGAAAUGCUUAGAUAUGACAUAGAACACCAAUUGCGAAGGCAGCUCGCUACACGAAUAUUGACUCUGAGGCACGAAAGCGUGGGGAUCAAACA